This 553-nucleotide long non-coding RNA is filed under the name Carica papaya (papaya). Its description in RNAcentral is "long non-coding RNA (CPAP_LNC013792)". The record is from RNAcentral. Lineage: Eukaryota; Viridiplantae; Streptophyta; Magnoliopsida; Brassicales; Caricaceae.
UACUGUCCACUUACCUCAGCGAGAUCCAUGAAAACAACAUCUGAAAAUAAUAACCCUACAAUAUCAUGAAAUCAUAUACACUUAAUAACACAACAUAUAUCACACCUUUAUAUUUCAAUCAUCAGGAAACAGAUUUCCUCUUUUACCAGCCUACUAGUAUCACUGGGGAUCCAUAGGGGUUCCCCUCUACACGUGAACCCUUAACAUUUAUAACCUGAUUCCAGGGUCGUCCCCAUACCCCGUCCGGUAUGGGCACCAAAACCAUGAACCUCAAUACCCCGUCCGGUAUGAGGGUGAAACGGGCCGUCCCCAUACCCCGUCCGGUAUGGGCGCCAAAACACAUAAGGUCUCCAUACCCCGUCUGGUAUGAGAGACCACGUUCCCGGUAGGGUUCCCUACGGACCUGGUCCAUCCACCAUCUCCCAAGAUAUCUAGUCAGGCUAUCCACAUUAUCCACUUAUCAAUUCACAUAACCCUUUUGCCUUUUUCCUUAAUCUCAUUCAUCUAAUCAUACAAAACAUGUAAACCAGUAAUUGACACCAAAUAAGACAAU